RNAcentral lists this ribosomal RNA (255 nucleotides) under Clostridioides difficile. Its description in RNAcentral is "partial 23S ribosomal RNA". It matches the Rfam family "Bacterial large subunit ribosomal RNA", at positions 2256 to 2510 of the family's 2925-position model. The record is from RNAcentral. Lineage: Bacteria; Bacillati; Bacillota; Clostridia; Peptostreptococcales; Peptostreptococcaceae.
GUCAGGUGGGCAGUUUGACUGGGGCGGUGGCCUCCCAAACGGUAACGGAGGGGCUCAAGGGUGCUCUCAGUACGGUAGGAAAUCGUACGUAGAGUGUAAAGGCAAAAGAGAGCUGGAUUGAAAGACAGACAGGUCGAGCAAGGAUGAAAAUCGGACUUAGUGAUCCGGUGGUUCUGCGUGGAAGGGCCAUCGCUCAACGGAUAAAAGCUACCCUGGGGAUAACAGGCUUAUCUCCCCCAAGAGUCCACAUCGACG